UGAUAUGUGUCUAAGUAUAUAUUUUUUGCCAUGGUUUCCAGAAUAGGUAUGAAAAAAUAUAUGACAUCACCCAUCCGGGGUAUACAAAGCAAUGAGACAAUGAUAAGACGGCCACAAUGUAUAAAUACAACAAGCAACAAUAAGUAAUAGUAAGGAAGAAAGGACACAACACACGGAACACACACAAUUCAGUAAAAUACUGCAUAUGAAAUGAGCAAAAGUAAAGAAGGAUGAAGGAGGAAGACAUAACCUUGGCAAGACGAAAGUGAGCACACAAGGCGUCGGGCCAGCUAAACUGCAGGCGUCGGGCCAACUAAACUGCAGCAUGAUCUAGAACACGGAAAAAAUAAAUUGCCGGAGAAGACAACUUGGUAGUAGGAGCAACUAAAUCAGAACGCAUACAAACUUUCCUUGUACUGAGUAAUGCGUACAAUAUCUUCUUAUUUAAGGAACAACUAAAAGAGACUACAAGAUAAUCAACAGCUGGAACUUCUUCAAUCAUAUCAUGCUUUAACAUCUAACCGUUUUUGAAAUCAUUAUUGCAAGAUAGGACAUUUUUUGUGACGCAGUAGUAGAACACCCUAUUUGUGAACUGAGAUAAGAAAAUGGUACUGAUCGUAUAUUUAAUAUUUAAAACGGACCAGAUGUAUCCUGUACUGUCCAGAAGAAACGAAAAUACGAGUGUACCUAACAUUUCAUCAACCGACUCCUCCGACUCACAUGUGAACAUUGUGCAAGUACAACAGCCUGCUGGACCGGAGUUAAUGAUAUAUGUGUGCUUCCACUAUUCGAGUCAUUCACAUUUCUGCAAGCAAAGUCAAGCAAAGGAGCUCCUCGUUGUUCUGUUGUUUGCCCCUCAUGAGCUGCUAGUUUAGUGGUCUUUGUAAUCCGUACAAUUUGGGACUUCACAUCCACCUAUACCAAAGAAUUGAUCAUAUAAAAAAGAUUAAGGAUAAUUAUUCCAUAUAUGUUAUGAAACAACAACAUGAAUGAUAGAAAUGAAAUACAGUAGCAUUUAAGUAUAUAUGUGAUGUAUACAUCAUUGUUUUCUCAUUUUCUAACAAGGUCCUCAAAAGAGUCUGACUAAGAGUGAAUCAGGUGGCAAGAAGGAAGUCAAUCAAUACAUUCAUUCGAAAAGCAUUUUUUUCAAAAUUAAAUGGUCCUCUAUCAUCAAGCUCGAGAAGCUAAAAUAGAAACAUGAAGUUCCACGAGGUCAAGCACAAUAUACCUGGUGUAUUGUUCGAAAACCAAGAAUCCCUGUGAGGGAAAGAUGAAUCCCACAUACCUCUUGAGCACUAUCCAGAUGCAACCUAUACAAAUAGAAAAGCCAUAAUUCUUU
RNAcentral lists this long non-coding RNA (1339 nucleotides) under Hordeum vulgare. RNAcentral describes it as "long non-coding RNA (HVUL_LNC018977)". The record is from RNAcentral. Lineage: Eukaryota; Viridiplantae; Streptophyta; Magnoliopsida; Poales; Poaceae.